CUCAGCCGCGGUAAUUCCAGCUCCAAUAGCGUAUAUUAAAGUUGUUGCAGUUAAAAAGCUCGUAGUUGAAUUUCGGGGUCAGUAGGCUGGUCGUGCCACAGGUAUGUACUGGUCUCACUGAUUCCUCCUUCCUGAUGAACCGUAAUGCCAUUAAUUUGGUGUUGCGGGGAAUCUGGACUGUUACUUUGAAAAAAUUAGAGUGUUUAAAGCAGGCUAACGCUUGAAUACAUUAGCAUGGAAUAAUGAAAUAGGACGAUCGAUCCUAUUUUGUUGGUUUCUAGGAUUGACGUAAUGAUUAAUAGGGAUAGUUGGGGGCAUUAGUAUUCAAUUGUCAGAGGUGAAAUUCUUGGAUUUAUUGAAGACUAACUACUGCGAAAGCAUUUGCCAAGGAUGUUUUCAUUAAUCAAGAACGAAAGUUAGGGGACCGAAGACGAUCAGAUACCGUCGUAGUCUUAACCAUAAACUAUGCCGACUAGGGAUCGGAUGAUGUUAAUUUUUUAAUGACUCAUUCGGCGCCUUA
This 520-nucleotide ribosomal RNA is filed under the name uncultured Glomus. Its description in RNAcentral is "SSU rRNA". It matches the Rfam family "Eukaryotic small subunit ribosomal RNA", at positions 569 to 1090 of the family's 1831-position model. Lineage: Eukaryota; Fungi; Glomeromycota; Glomeromycetes; Glomerales; Glomeraceae. The record is from RNAcentral.